AUUGAACGCUGGCGGCAGGCCUAACACAUGCAAGUCGAGCGUGAAAGUCCUUCGGGAUGAGUAAAGCGGCGGACGGGUGAGUAACGCGUAGGAAUCUACCUGAUAGUGGGGGAUAACGUCUCGAAAGGGACGCUAAUACCGCAUACGUUCUGAGGAAGAAAGCAGGGGAUCGCAAGACCUUGUGCUAUAAGAUGAGCCUGCGUCCGAUUAGCCAGUUGGUGGGGUAAAGGCCUACCAAGGCGACGAUCGGUAACUGGUAUGAGAGGAUGAUCAGUCAGACUGGAACUGAGACACGGUCCAGGAGCCGACGGGAGGCAGCAGUGGGGAAUAUUGGACAAUGGGGGCAACCCUGAUCCAGCCAUGCCGCGUGUGUGAAGAAGGCCUUCGGGUUGUAAAGCACUUUAAGCGGGGAGGAAGGCUCCAUGGUUAAUACCCAUGGGGAUUGACGUUACCCGCAGAAUAAGCACCGGCAAACUUCGUGCCAGCCGCCGCAGUAA
Molecule: ribosomal RNA, 497 nt
Filed under: uncultured bacterium
Lineage: Bacteria
Description: partial 16S ribosomal RNA
Rfam family: Bacterial small subunit ribosomal RNA
Source: RNAcentral